ACAAGCAGCGGAGCAUGUGGUUUUAAUUCGAAGCAACGCGAAGAACCUUACCAGAUCUUGACAUCCAAUUGACCAUCUUUUAAUCGAGAUUUUGCCUUCGGGUACAAUUGAGACAGGUGGUGCAUGGUUGUCGUCAGCUCGUGUCGUGAGAUGUUGGGUUAAGUCCCGCAACGAGCGCAACCCUAUUGCUAGUUACCAUCAUUAAGUUGGGGACUCUAGCGAGACUGCCAGUGAUAAACUGGAGGAAGGUGGGGAUGACGUCAAAUCAUCAUGCCCCUUAUGACCUGGGCUACAAACGUGAUACAAUGGCUGGAACAAAGGGAUGCGAAGCAGUGAUGUGGAGCGAAACCCAUAAAAACAGUCUCAGUUCGGAUUGAAGUCUGCAACUCGACUUCAUGAAGUCGGAAUCGCUAGUAAUCGCGGAUCAGAACGCCGCGGUGAAUACGUUCUCGGGGUUU
RNAcentral lists this ribosomal RNA (458 nucleotides) under uncultured Acholeplasma sp. Its description in RNAcentral is "bacterial SSU rRNA". It matches the Rfam family "Bacterial small subunit ribosomal RNA", at positions 925 to 1382 of the family's 1533-position model. The record is from RNAcentral. Lineage: Bacteria; Bacillati; Mycoplasmatota; Mollicutes; Acholeplasmatales; Acholeplasmataceae.